CCUACGGGAGACAGCAGUAGGGAAUCUUCCACAAUGGGCGAAAGCCUGAUGGAGCAACGCCGCGUGGGUGAAGAAGGUCUUCGGAUCGUAAAACCCUGUUGUUAGAGAAGAAAGUGCGUGAGAGUAACUGUUCACGUUUCGACGAUAUCUAACCAGAAAGCCACGGCUAACUACGUGCCCGCAGCCGCGGUAAUACGUAGGUGGCAAGCGUUAUCCGGAUUUAUUGGGCGUAAAGGGAACGCAGGCGGUCUUUUAAGUCUGAUGUGAAAGCCUUCGGCUUAACCGGAGUAGUGCAUUGGAAACUGGGAGACUUGAGUGCAGAAGAGGAGAGUGGAACUCCAUGUGUAGCGGUGAAAUGCGUAGAUAUAUGGAAGAACACCAGUGGCGAAAGCGGCUCUCUGGUCUGUAACUGACGCUGAGGUUCGAAAGCGUGGGUAGCAAACAGGAUUAGAUACCCGUGUAGUC
This 465-nucleotide ribosomal RNA is filed under the name uncultured bacterium. RNAcentral describes it as "partial 16S ribosomal RNA". It matches the Rfam family "Bacterial small subunit ribosomal RNA", at positions 338 to 795 of the family's 1533-position model. The record is from RNAcentral.